Molecule: non-coding RNA, 1359 nt
Organism: Podarcis lilfordi (Lilford's wall lizard)
Lineage: Eukaryota; Metazoa; Chordata; Lepidosauria; Squamata; Lacertidae
Source: the annotation of a GenBank genome assembly
AUAGAACAAUCACUCUAGUUCAUUUUAUCCUGGGACAAAUGAAAGGUACCUGGCCAUUCAACCUUUGCCCCCAGUGGAAAAAUACAAAGGUAAGAAAAUAGCAAACCACAUAUUUCAGAAUCUAAUAUUUUAGAUUCUAUCUACUUCACAAAAGUAUGAAAUUUUCCUGAGUCUGUAUAGUGAUCCUCUAAGCAGAAAUUUUAAAAAAUGAGAAAGUAAAGUUUAAAGUAUAGUUCAAAGAAAUUUCACAUAUAAUUGGUGGUUCAAUGCUACAUAUGAGUUACCCUUUGUAAUACUUCCUUUGUCUUGGAUUUCUGUUAUCCUUACAUCUCUAAAUUUCGCAUAAAGAGCAAUGUGAAAAUGUCACUUACUUAAAAGCGUCAUUUUAUUAUAAGUGCAUCUUCUAUUGUGAACCAUACUUUUAUUCCAACACUUUUCUUCCUUAAUUUGUAUAGAAAACUACCAUUGUGAGAAAUGUUGUCCUGUUUUAGCUCACCCAUCCCACACAUUGGUUUUGAAGGUUCACUUAAGAUGUUCUACAACACAGUCACUAGAUGGGGUGGCAAGAGAAAAUGUGAGGCUGAAUCAGGCAGAAACUGCCUAGGGAGGAUUGGCACUGCUGUGGAGGUUGCAAGCAGUUAGUUUUUCGGUGUCAAGACACCAUCCUAGGCUCUGACUAGGAGGGGCCAUCAGAUUAGCAAUAUUAGAUGCAGAGGAGCUGGAAACUGUCACCAAUAACUCAAAGAAGUCCUAUAGGUAGACGCUGUUGGAAUGAAGUGGUUGUCCCUUGUCAUCGCUGGGACAUAGCUUUAUAGGAAUUUGAGAUCUCAUAGGACACAAGGCACCAAUAACUGGAGAAAAACUCAAAACCACCUGGUUCCCUAGUGUGGUAUUGUGUAGUGUUACAGAGUACAAAACACAAUGCCUUUUAAAAAAAUGUUUUUGAAGAGAAGUGCAUUUCAAAAUCUGAUCAAUAUUUUUUGAGCUCCCUUGAUGUUUUCCCCUCCCCUUUUCUCUCUCAGCAGGAAUGUGGACAUGGGUCAGGUUCAAAACCAACAUUCUGGAUAUGACCUAAGUUCAAAGGCGAUAUUUUAACGGCUGAAUUGCAAUAGCUAACAGAGACACGUUCUCAUAUGAUGAUUCAAAGGUACAGAACCUGACCCUCAAUUCAUGCUCUACAAAUCCUCCAUGCCCAACUUUAAUCAACAAGCCUUUCUCGGUUCUUUCUCAGUUGUACAUGCUGCUAUUUUUAUUUGAAAGAAACACAUGCACAUUUUACAGUUUCAGUCUCUCCAUUAUUUAUCGUGUCUGUAUUUAUCUGCAUGUUGUGUGCUAUAGACUUCACCCCUAAAUACAUCA